RNAcentral lists this ribosomal RNA (301 nucleotides) under uncultured bacterium. Its description in RNAcentral is "partial 16S ribosomal RNA". It matches the Rfam family "Bacterial small subunit ribosomal RNA", at positions 509 to 807 of the family's 1533-position model. The record is from RNAcentral.
CAGUAGCCGCGGUAAUACGAAGGGUGCAAGCGUUAAUCGGAAUUACUGGGCGUAAAGCGCGCGUAGGUGGUUUGGUAAGAUGGAUGUGAAAUCCCCGGGCUCAACCUGGGAACUGCAUCCAUAACUGCCUGACUAGAGUACGGUAGAGGGUGGUGGAAUUUCCUGUGUAGCGGUGAAAUGCGUAGAUAUAGGAAGGAACACCAGUGGCGAAGGCGACCACCUGGACUGAUACUGACACUGAGGUGCGAAAGCGUGGGGAGCAAACAGGAUUAGAUACCCGGGUAGUCCCUGUCUCUUAUAC